UACACACUCAGUGUGUGUGUGUGGGUCGAUGUUCGACCAGGAGAGAAAGGAAAAGGGGUAAAACCCUAGAUCACCAAAAUCCAUCAAAUUGAAGGAGGAUUGAAGGGCUAAUCGAAUGCAUGAACCAGGAAUGUCGAUCAUUUAAGUGUUUCUACCAUCAUGAACGUGUCAAGGAGAGGUCAAGCAUAGGAGGAUAACGGGUCAAGAUAAGGCAAGGUGACAAAUACACUUAUUGGAGUACUCAAGGUAUGGGAUUGUUGGCUUCAUGAAGAAAUGGAGCUGGAUUUGGAUAAGAGUAUUUAAGAAAGCGCUUGGACAAUUCCAUGAUUACUUUAUGGAAUGCUCUACGAAAUUCUAUUAUAUAGGUUAAUGUUGUAUGGUAUGUUAAUGACUAAUGGUUUGGUUGUACGUGGUGUCCACAGGUAUCGCUUGGGUUUUCUCUACAUUUAUUGAAGUCAAGCAGGGAUUAGUUCAAGUUGAGAGCAAG
Helianthus annuus (common sunflower) is the source of this 487-nucleotide long non-coding RNA. RefSeq lists it as uncharacterized. NCBI's taxonomy places the organism in Eukaryota, Viridiplantae, Streptophyta, Magnoliopsida, Asterales, Asteraceae. The transcript is spliced from 3 exons. The record is from RefSeq and is a predicted model, not a curated record.